GCAGUCGAACGAUGAAGCUCUUGCUUGCAAGAGUGGAUUAGUGGCGCACGGGUGAGUAAUGUAUAGCUAACCUGCCCCUUAGAGGGGGACAACAGAUGGAAACGUCUGCUAAUACCCCAUACUCCAUAUAGGCUAAAGUCUUUAUGGGAAAACUCAGGUGCUAAGGGAUGGGGCUGUAUUGUAUCAGCUAGUUGGUGGGGUAAUGGCCUACCAAGGCGAUGACGCAUAGCUGGUCUGAGAGGAUGAUCAGCCACACUGGAACUGAGACACGGUCCAGACUCCUACGGGAGGCAGCAGUGGGGAAUAUUGCACAAUGGGGGAAACCCUGAUGCAGCAACGCCGCGUGGAGGAUGACGCAUUUCGGUGUGUAAACUCCUUUUAUCGGUCAAGAAAAUGACGGUAGCCGAUGAAUAAGCACCGGCUAACUCCGUGCCAG
This 436-nucleotide ribosomal RNA is filed under the name uncultured bacterium. RNAcentral's name for it is "bacterial SSU rRNA". It matches the Rfam family "Bacterial small subunit ribosomal RNA", at positions 57 to 511 of the family's 1533-position model. The record is from RNAcentral.